CCCAGCUGUCUCGCUUGAAUAUGGAGUUUUUCCUCCCUGUCAUGCGGGUGAUAUGCUCAGCACUUCUCUCAAGAUAGAGUACUGCACUACCACCUCUGGAUCCUAGUCAAGCUGCAGUGAAGACAGCUACAUUUUUCCUGUUUCCUCUGAAUCUCGAAGAGGUACAGUAAUACCAUUUUUAAUUGCUAACACUUUAAAAUUAAACUAUAGCCUAUGAAGUAGUUAGCUGUCCAAAUGAGGUGCAAUGAUUGUCAAA
Long non-coding RNA from Pygocentrus nattereri (red-bellied piranha), 256 nucleotides. NCBI's taxonomy places the organism in Eukaryota, Metazoa, Chordata, Actinopteri, Characiformes, Serrasalmidae. The record is from Ensembl.